Molecule: ribosomal RNA, 465 nt
Filed under: uncultured bacterium
Lineage: Bacteria
Description: bacterial SSU rRNA
Rfam family: Bacterial small subunit ribosomal RNA
Source: RNAcentral
GGGCCCGCACAAGCGGUGGAGCAUGUGGUUCAAUUCGACGCAACGCGAAGAACCUUACCUGGGCUAGACAACGGCGGACCGUCCUAGAAAUAGGAUCUUCCCUUCGGGGACCGCCGGUUCAGGUGCUGCAUGGCUGUCGUCAGCUCGUGCCGUGAGGUGUUGGGUUAAGUCCCGCAACGAGCGCAACCCUCGUCCUUAGUUGCCACCAUUCAGUUGGGCACUCUAGGGAGACUGCCGGCGUUAAGCCGGAGGAAGGUGGGGACGACGUCAAGUCAUCAUGGCCCUUAUGUCCAGGGCCACACACGUGCUACAAUGGGCGGUACAAAGGGUCGCUAACCCGCGAGGGGGAGCCAAUCCCAAAAAGCCGCUCUCAGUUCGGAUUGGAGUCUGCAACUCGACUCCAUGAAGUUGGAAUCGCUAGUAAUCGCGGAUCAGCACGCCGCGGUGAAUACGUUCCCGGGCCUU